CUGAAGGUAACAGGUGCUCGCUUCAGCAGUUAUAUAAUUGGAACAAUACAAACAAGAUUAGCAUAGCCGCUGUGCAAGGAUGGCACACAAAAUUGUGGAGCAUUCUAUAUUUUA
Ochotona princeps (American pika) is the source of this 114-nucleotide small nuclear RNA. The record is from Ensembl. NCBI's taxonomy places the organism in Eukaryota, Metazoa, Chordata, Mammalia, Lagomorpha, Ochotonidae.